Long non-coding RNA from Magallana angulata, 601 nucleotides. RefSeq lists it as uncharacterized. NCBI's taxonomy places the organism in Eukaryota, Metazoa, Mollusca, Bivalvia, Ostreida, Ostreidae. The transcript has 4 exons. The record is from RefSeq and is a predicted model, not a curated record.
AAAAAAAAAGUGUUCCGCCAAGUUGUUUAUUUCUUCACUUGGAAACUCAUAUUUGAUGUAUUCAAGAUGUAUUAGAAUGUAUUUCCUCAUCGCCCUAGUUUCGCCGCUCACAACAUGCGCUUUCGAUACUGAAAAUAUAGCACUUCGUAAACCUACCUGGCAAGAACAUCCCUGGCCUGAUCCUUAUUACUAUAAGGGUGAUAAUGCAGUGGAUGGUUUUUACACGAAUCGCUCACUUGCGGGACAUCAAUGUUCAGUGUCAGGAAUCAAUAAAUAUACAGCUACAUGGAGAGUUGACCUGGAGAAUGUGUUCAGCAUCAGUCAUAUCAAUAUCUACUACAGGACUGAUAAUCUGCCAAUUCCAACUGAAAAUGCUAGAAGGAUGGCUGGAUUUUAUUUGUACGUUUCCAAUACAACUUCAAAGGACAACGGCCAUCUCUGUUUCCAUGAAAAUCAAACAAAACAAGAAAUGAUAUUGGAGGACAUAAGUAUCAACUGUUCUGUUUCCGGACGCUACGUCAUCUACUGCAAUGAACGUAAACAGAAUGUUAAGUACCCUGAUUUCUAUUCAAAGUAUGCCUACAACGAACUGUGUGAAGUA